Long non-coding RNA from Eptesicus fuscus (big brown bat), 803 nucleotides. RefSeq lists it as uncharacterized. The transcript is spliced from 3 exons. NCBI's taxonomy places the organism in Eukaryota, Metazoa, Chordata, Mammalia, Chiroptera, Vespertilionidae. The record is from RefSeq and is a predicted model, not a curated record.
UUUCUCCUGCUGCUCCUCCUCCUGGCCGAACGGGGUUCGGAGGAAAGCUGGGCCUCCGCCCCCUCGGCGGGGCGGGCGGGGAGGGCGCAGCACGUGCCGGCCUCGGGGGUCGGGCGGACGCGGGGGACGCGCUGCCGCCGGGGAGGCCCCGGAGCCCGGGAGGCGGCGGAAUGGGAAUGGAUAAAUGCACCGCCCAAGCCGCAGCCUCCGAUCGCCAAUCCGCCCGCAGCAAGUUGGUUCAACUCGGAAGGCUGUAACCAGAGCCAGGGAAAGGGGGGUGGGGCGCUGAGGCCCCGCUCCCUAAAGCCUGGAAAAAAGGAGGUCCAGCCUUUUAGGAGAGACGAAUACCUACCUGCAUGAGGAAUUAGCCAUGAAGAUCACCCAAUAGGCACAUUCAACACAAAGCCACCUUCUAAAUAUGGUCUUAACCCUGAGCUUCAGAGGAAUCUGAUAACCUGAUGAACAGGUUUAACUGAUUUGAAACAAUGGGUGAAGCCAGACUAAGCUUUGAACAAAGAAAAUGUAUCCUGAAGUGCUACUAGACUUUUUUUUUAAAUGGGGAUACAUAAAAGAUAAAGUUUACAGUACAAAACCAGCAACAAUUGACAAAUUGAGGGUGCACAAAUACCGAAUGAAAUGAUUCUUGAUAUUUGUAAUUCCAUUGCUUUGUGUUAUCAGCAGUGCCUGGACCAGAGCGGUCAUCGGUUUGAAAACAGGCAUUGACAAAAAAAUUAUUCAUUUCUGUAGAUUAUUUUAAAUUUUGAAAAUCAACUGUAAGUUAUUAAACAUUGACUUUAUAAUCA